UGCAGUCGAGCGGUAACAGNGNGGUAGCUUGCUACNNCGCUGACGAGCGGCGGACGGGUGAGUAAUGCAUAGGAAUCUGCCCGAUAGUGGGGGAUAACCUGGGGAAACCCAGGCUAAUACCGCAUACGUCCUACGGGAGAAAGGGGGCUUCGGCUCCCGCUAUUGGAUGAGCCUAUGUCGGAUUAGCUAGUUGGUAAGGUAAUGGCUUACCAAGGCAACGAUCCGUAGCUGGUCUGAGAGGAUGAUCAGCCACAUCGGGACUGAGACACGGCCCGAACUCCUACGGGAGGCAGCAGUGGGGAAUAUUGGACAAUGGGGGCAACCCUGAUCCAGCCAUGCCGCGUGUGUGAAGAAGGCCCUCGGGUUGUAAAGCACUUUCAGCGAGGAAGAACGCCUAUCGGUUAAUACCCGGUAGGAAAGACAUCACUCGCAGAAGAAGCACCGGCUAACUCCGUGCCAGCAGCCGCGGUAAUACGGAGGGUGCAAGCGUUAAUCGGAAUUACUGGGCGUAAAGCGCGCGUAGGUGGCUUGAUAAGCCGGUUGUGAAAGCCCCGGGCUCAACCUGGGAACGGCAUCCGGAACUGUCAGGCUAGAGUGCAGGAGAGGAAGGUAGAAUUCCCGGUGUAGCGGUGAAAUGCGUAGAGAUCGGGAGGAAUACCAGUGGCGAAGGCGGCCUUCUGGACUGACACUGACACUGAGGUGCGAAAGCGUGGGUAGCAAACAGGAUUAGAUACCCUGGUAGUCCACGCCGUAAACGAUGUCGACCAGCCGUUGGGUGCCUAGAGCACUUUGUGGCGAAGUUAACGCGAUAAGUCGACCGCCUGGGGAGUACGGCCGCAAGGU
RNAcentral lists this ribosomal RNA (843 nucleotides) under Halomonas sp. A7_(IO)_16.35mbsf. Its description in RNAcentral is "bacterial SSU rRNA". It matches the Rfam family "Bacterial small subunit ribosomal RNA", at positions 56 to 894 of the family's 1533-position model. The record is from RNAcentral. Lineage: Bacteria; Pseudomonadati; Pseudomonadota; Gammaproteobacteria; Oceanospirillales; Halomonadaceae.